GACGAACGCUGGCGGCGUGCUUAACACAUGCAAGUCGAACGGAAAGGCCCUGCUUUUGUGGGGUGCUCGAGUGGCGAACGGGUGAGUAACACGUGAGUAACCUGCCCUUGACUUUGGGAUAACUUCAGGAAACUGGGGCUAAUAUCGGAUAGGAGCCCCUGCUGCAUGGUGGGGGUUGGAAAGUUUCGGCGGUUGGGGAUGGACUCGCGGCUUAUCAGCUUGUUGGUGGGGUAGUGGCUUACCAAGGCUUUGACGGGUAGCCGGCCUGAGAGGGUGACCGGCCACAUUGGGACUGAGAUACGGCCCAGACUCCUACGGGAGGCAGCAGUGGGGAAUAUUGCACAAUGGGCGGAAGCCUGAUGCAGCAACGCCGCGUGCGGGAUGACGGCCUUCGGGUUGUAAACCGCUUUCGCCUGUGACGAAGCGUGAGUGACGGUAAUGGGUAAAGAAGCACCGGCUAACUACGUG
RNAcentral lists this ribosomal RNA (468 nucleotides) under uncultured bacterium. RNAcentral's name for it is "partial 16S ribosomal RNA". It matches the Rfam family "Bacterial small subunit ribosomal RNA", at positions 28 to 507 of the family's 1533-position model. The record is from RNAcentral.